UUGAGAAGAUAGAUUAACAUGUAUUAAAUGAUUGAUUCAUUGUGAACAAACUUACAUUCAUAUGACUGAAACUACAAGGAAAGAUUACAAGUAAUAAGCGAGAAAUAAUGAUAAGUGAUAACUACAACACUGUAUGAUACACUAACACCCUUCAAUAGCAAACAGUUUUUCAGCCAUGCUAUGCUACUGUGCUUGAAGCAAUACUUUAUUAGUUUUCGAGGCUCAAAGAAACGCUAGUGCACUACCAGAAAACUUUUAUUUUACGACGCACAAUUUACGGCGUGCAUAUCAUGCGCGCCAUAAAAGAGUGUCAUUUACGACAUGCUUUUUUAUGAGCCGUAAAAGAGUUCUCUUUCUGGUCAUUUACGGCGUGCUUCCCGUGUGUGCCGUAAAUGACAAAUUACAUUUACGGCGUACGUUUUUUAUGGGCUGUAAAAGACUUUCAUUUCUAGUCUUUUACAGCGUACUUCUCAUGUGCGCUGUAAAUGGAAGAAAAACCUUUUACGGCGUGCUUCAUAUAUGUGCCGUAAAAGACUAGAAAUGAAAGUCUUUUACGGCGUUCUUUCAAGUGUGCCGCAAAUUUCACAAAUUUUAAGAGCCCGCUCAUACUUUCGGUCAACAAUUAAACUUCCCCCCUUUUCUUUAACUCUUUAAGGGAAGUGUUCCCAUCCUUCCAUCUCUCUCUCUCUCUCUCCCUCUGAUCUUGUCCUUGCCUACUCCAACGGGAGUUACCAGACGACUACUUCUGCAUAUCAAUGGAAGGGGGUUUUACUGGCCACCACAAGCACUUUCCCUCCAAAUUUGGGUUUCACUUUUUGGGGUUUCUUUUAGAUCUGGAGACGAACAUCAUCGCUUCGGUAUUCCAAUUCUCUUUUUGGGUUUUGACAUCAUCAGGAUCUGGGUUUGUGAUUAUUCUGUUUCUAUGCCGUCGAAACCCAUCCCAUCUUGAACUGAAAAUUCCAGAAACUGAAAUUUCCUGAGCUCUGGGAACCUGGAGAUGGACACUUUCCGAGUUUUCUAAUUCAUUUCAUCAUCAUUUGAUUGUUGUCUUUGAAUUUUCUUUCUAGGUUUUUUGGUGGUUUUGUUUUUGUUGUUGCUAAUUUGGGUUUUGGUGAAUUUGUGAAGAGCAAGCGGUGUGUGUAGAAAUUGGAAACAGGGGUGAAGCAGAGUCUGGGACGCAGAGACAGUUUGAGCUUUGCUGGUUGGAAGAUGGGUUCUCAGAUAUGAUUUUUGGGUGUGAGAACUCUAGCUGGAGAACAAGAGGAUGAUGGACAGUUCUAUUAAAUAGAGAGGACAAGCCUUCUGAGGGCAAGAGAAGAAGCUUUGGGUUUGCGAACUCUAGCUGGAGAACAAGAGGAUGAUGGACAGUUCUAUUAGAGAAAUAGAGAGGACAAGCCUUCUGAGGGCAAGAGAAGAAGCUGGUUCGAGGUUAAGAAAAGUGCUAAGCAAGGGCAGAUGAUGUGUUUUUCUUCUGAUCGGAUACAAGAAGGUAAUUCAAAUAAGCCCCUUUCAACUGGUGUAGUAGAUGCUUAUCUUGCAGAGUGGAUGAGAAAAAUGAAUGUAAAGUAGUGUAGGAAAUGGAUGUAAAGUACGUAGUUGUGAAGGUUUCUUUUUGCUUCUAUGGAUUUUUAUUUGCUUGUAAGCAAAUCUUAUAUGAUGUACAAUAAUUAUAUAAAUGAAGUUUAUUUACCAACAAAAAUAUAGAAACAUGAAAUAAAAUGUAAAUUGUGGAUUUUUGGCUUUUAUUAUUAUUAUUAUUAUUAUUAUUAUUAUUAUUUUCAACCCUCAUUUACGGCGUGCAUGGUAUGUGUGCCGUAAAUAUAACAUCUUUUACGGCACACAUUUGACUCAUUUACGGCGUGCAUGAUACAUGUGUUAUAAAUACACUCCUCUUUUACGGCACACUUUUGACUCAUUUACGACGCACAUUGUGACUCAUUUACAGCGCAUUUCAUAUGCGCCGUAAAUAAUAAUUGUCUUUUACGGCAUGUCCAUUUACGGCCUACAUUUGUGGGCUGUAAAAGAUCAUUUACGGCGCACAUUGUGGGCCGUAAAAGACCUUUUUUCUGGUAGUGGUGAGAAUCUGAAUUCUAUCGUAUUAGUGUACCAUGCAGAGACACAUCUAUUUGAUUCCAAACAAGAAAUAAACAAACCAAACAAGAAAUAAACAAAGAGAUGGUAUA
Rosa rugosa (rugosa rose) is the source of this 2183-nucleotide long non-coding RNA. RefSeq lists it as uncharacterized. The record is from RefSeq and is a predicted model, not a curated record. Lineage: Eukaryota; Viridiplantae; Streptophyta; Magnoliopsida; Rosales; Rosaceae. The transcript is spliced from 3 exons.